This 1505-nucleotide long non-coding RNA is filed under the name Homo sapiens (human). Its description in RNAcentral is "non-protein coding lnc-GAMT-8:1". Lineage: Eukaryota; Metazoa; Chordata; Mammalia; Primates; Hominidae. The record is from RNAcentral.
CUCUUUAACUCUUCACUCGGAAGCGGUGGAGCCGCGUGGGGCGCUGCGGGGAGUGGGAGUGUACCCGCCCGCACCCCAGGCGGGCGGACGGAGCGGGAACGGCACGUGAGCGUCCCGCGCGAGGCUCCUUCCCCUGUCCGCAUUUCACAGAAGAGGAUCCCGAGGGUCCGAGAGGCUGAGUCACUUGGCCAAGGUCACCCAGUUCGGGGCUGAACUGGAAUCAAAUCAAAACAAUUAACUAAAUUCAAUGACUAUGAAAAGAUAUUAUUGACCCCCCCCCCAAGUGCUAUUACUAUUAAUAGCCAAAUACUGUUUUAGUUGCAUCUGUUAAUUGCAUACAUCAGUGGUUCUUCUUCUGGGUGACUUUGCCCCCUAGGGGAUAACUUGGCAAUGUCUGAAAACACGGUUUUGGUUGUCACAACUUGAGUGCGGGGUGCUGCUGGCAUCGAGUGGGUCCAGACCAGACAUGCCGCUCAGCACCCUGCAGUGCACACGACGACCCCCCAAAAAGAAUGAUACCCGUCCUCCAAUGUCAGCAGAAGGAGGUGGAAAAACCGGUCUAGGCUGACGGUAGUAAACAGGUGACCCGCAGGGUUUUGUAAAACCGGGUACGUGCUGCCUACUGCUUUUCUCCUUAAUCUCACAGCACAUUGACAGCCUGAUCGUUUGGUUUAUUCAUCAUCACAGAAUUAAAUAAAUACAAGGAACAAGGCCGGGUGAGGUGGCGCACGCCUAUAAUCCCAACACUUUGGGAGGCCGAGGAUCAAUUUAGGUCAGGAGAUCGAGACCAGCCUAGCCAACAUAUAUAGUGAAACCCCGUCUCUACUAAAAAUACAAAAGAAAAUUAGCCGGGCGUGGUGGUGGGCGCCUGUAAUCCCAGCUACUCGGGAAGCUAAGGCCGGAGAAAUGCUUGAAGGCAGGAAGUAGAGGUUGCAGUGAGCCGAGAUCGCGCCACUGCACACCAACCUGGGCAACAGAGCAAGACUCCCUCUUAGAAAAAAAAGGGCCGAGCAUGGUGGCUCACUCCUGGAAUCCCAGCAGUUUGGGAGGCCAAGGUGGGCGGAUCACGAGGUCAGGAGAUCGAGACCAUCCUGGCUAACAUGGUGAAACCCCGUCUCUACUAAAAGUACAAAAAAUUAGCUCGGCAUGGUGGCAGGCGCCUGUAGUCCCAGCUACUCAGGAGGCUGAGGCAGUAGAAUUGCUUGAACCCAGGAGGCAGAGCUUGCAGUGAGCCGAGAUCGUGCCACUACACUCCAGCCUGGGCGACACGGCAAGACUCUGUCUCAAAAAAAAAAAAUACAAGGAACAAGAUCACAGACAAAUAGUACAAAACACUUUUUUUUCUUUUAUUUUGAGACAGGCUCUCACUCUGUUGCCCAAGCUGGAGUGCAAUGAUGCAGUCAUAGCUCACUGCAGCCUUGAACUCCUGGACUCCAGCUAUCCUCCCUCCUCAGCCUCCCAAGUAGCUGGGACUAAAACCCCAUUUAAAAUAAAACUGGCCGGAU